This 253-nucleotide ribosomal RNA is filed under the name uncultured bacterium. RNAcentral's name for it is "partial 16S ribosomal RNA". It matches the Rfam family "Bacterial small subunit ribosomal RNA", at positions 524 to 776 of the family's 1533-position model. The record is from RNAcentral.
UACGUAGGGGGCUAGCGUUGUCCGGAAUCAUUGGGCGUAAAGCGCGUGUAGGCGGCCCGGUAAGUCCGCUGUGAAAGUCCAGGGCUUAACCCUGGGAUGCCGGUGGAUACUGUCGGGCUCGAGUCCGGAAGAGGCGAGUGGAAUUCCUGGUGUAGCGGUGAAAUGCGCAGAUAUCAGGAGGAACACCAAUGGCGAAGGCAGCUCGCUGGGACGUGACUGACGCUGAGACGCGAAAGCGUGGGGAGCAAACAGG